Long non-coding RNA from Oxyura jamaicensis (ruddy duck), 155 nucleotides. RefSeq lists it as uncharacterized. Lineage: Eukaryota; Metazoa; Chordata; Aves; Anseriformes; Anatidae. The transcript is spliced from 3 exons. The record is from RefSeq and is a predicted model, not a curated record.
GCAGCAGGGGAGGUUUAGGUUGGAUAUUGGGAGAAAUUUAUUCACUGAGAGGGUUGUGAAGUCUUGGAACGGGCUGCACAGGGAAGCAGCUGGGUCACCAUCACUGGAGGUCUUCAGAAAACGUGUAGAUGUGGUGCUUAGGGACAUGGUUUAGG